This 537-nucleotide ribosomal RNA is filed under the name Leptosphaerulina australis. RNAcentral's name for it is "eukaryotic LSU rRNA". The stretch from base 167 to 320 matches the Rfam family "5.8S ribosomal RNA". Lineage: Eukaryota; Fungi; Ascomycota; Dothideomycetes; Pleosporales; Didymellaceae. The record is from RNAcentral.
UCGUAGGUGACCUGCGGAGGAUCAUUACCUAGAGUUGUAGGCUUUGCCUGCUAUCUCUUACCCAUGUCUUUUGAGUACUUACGUUUCCUCGGCGGGUCCGCCCGCCGAUUGGACAAUUUAAACCAUUUGCAGUUGCAAUCAGCGUCUGAAAAACUUUAAUAGUUACAACUUUCAACAACGGAUCUCUUGGUUCUGGCAUCGAUGAAGAACGCAGCGAAAUGCGAUAAGUAGUGUGAAUUGCAGAAUUCAGUGAAUCAUCGAAUCUUUGAACGCACAUUGCGCCCCUUGGUAUUCCAUGGGGCAUGCCUGUUCGAGCGUCAUUUGUACCUUCAAGCUUUGCUUGGUGUUGGGUGUUUGUCUCGCCUUUGCGUGUAGACUCGCCUUAAAACAAUUGGCAGCCGGCGUAUUGAUUUCGGAGCGCAGUACAUCUCGCGCUUUGCACUCAUAACGACGACGUCCAAAAGUACAUUUUUACACUCUUGACCUCGGAUCAGGUAGGGAUACCCGCUGAACUUAAGCAUAUCAUAAGGGAAGGAA